RNAcentral lists this ribosomal RNA (426 nucleotides) under uncultured bacterium. RNAcentral describes it as "bacterial SSU rRNA". It matches the Rfam family "Bacterial small subunit ribosomal RNA", at positions 355 to 772 of the family's 1533-position model. The record is from RNAcentral.
UGGGGAAUCUUGCGCAAUGGGCGAAAGCCUGACGACGCAACGCCGCGUGGGGGAUGAAGGUCUUCGGAUUGUAAACCCCUGUUGGGUGGGACGAACACUUCCGUGGUGAAUAGCCAUGGAGACUGACGGUACCACCUGAGGAAGGCCCGGCUAACUACGUGCCAGCAGCCGCGGUAAUACGUAGGGGCCGAGCGUUGUCCGGAGUUACUGGGCGUAAAGCGCGCGCAGGCGGCUCGUCAAGCCUGACGUGAAAGCCCCCGGCUCAACCGGGGAGGGUCGUCGGGGACUGGCGAGCUUGAGGUCGGCAGGGGCUGGUGGAAUUCCCGGUGUAGUGGUGAAAUGCGUAGAGAUCGGGAGGAACACCCGUGGCGAAGGCGGCCAGCUGGGCCGGACCUGACGCUGAGGCGCGAAGGCGUGGGGAGCGAA